This is a non-coding RNA of Danio rerio (zebrafish), 1612 nucleotides long. The record is from RefSeq and is a predicted model, not a curated record. NCBI's taxonomy places the organism in Eukaryota, Metazoa, Chordata, Actinopteri, Cypriniformes, Danionidae.
AACUUAACAUUGUUGAGUAAAACGCAAAAACCUCUUAAGAUUGGAUAUUUGCUGAUACCAUAGCUGCCUACCUGGAGGCGGAGCAACGGAACAGUCAGAGAGAGGAACAUGUGAAGCACAUGAGGAGGAGAAGAUGGUGGCUUUGUCAGAUUGCUGCUGAAUUCAGUCGAAUCGCUACUGUCCCACUAAUUCAAACAUUUUUCAAAACUGCAUGGUUCCACCAGCAAGCUGGACAGCAUUUACCGUACAAAAGAAGAAAUUGCAAAAUGGAAAAUUUGAAAACUGAUGGCUACCAUCGACAAGAGUGAUGCCAUCUCAACUUGGAGAGCUUGCAUUCUCAGAGCACUUUCUGUGUAUCUUAAUGAAGACUAUUAAAACCUCAUGAAGGAGUAUACAGAGACAGACUUUGAGAGAGACAUGGCCAAUACUGUCAUUAAAAUCUACACCGUUACGCCUGAAGUUGUAGAAGUCUGUGACCCACCAUCAGUUGCUGGACUGAUUGUUGAGGGAGUGAAAGUGCUUCAGAACCUUGGCGAUGUCACCAAGGCUUGUUCUCUUUCUUUGAGAGUCAAGUACAGCGUGAAUCUCAGUAAUCCUUCAGACCUGAAAUGCACUUUUUGAGUUUUUCAGAAAGUGUUGCUGGGACUUGCACAUAAACUGUCACACAAAAUACAAGUUCUCAAAAACAAACUUGUUGGCUGAGUCAGUACAUCAUUCUGGACAAAUGAAAGAAAUAGAGGAAGAAGCUUUUUUGAGACACUUAAAUUUUUCUAGUUUUUUAAAUUAAGGGCCAAUUUUAAUGUUAUCUUUGUCAAUGGCACCAAAGUUUUAAAUGGAGUUCUACAACUUUAAAUGGUUAUAAUUGUUUGAUUAUUUACAAAGAUUCAGAUUUUCAGUUUUAUUCUUUUCUUUGCUUUUUAAAAUUCUUAUGCUGCUUGUCUUAAACUUUCCUUUUCUUUUUCAGAGUAAAAUUUAUUACUUGCAGUUGCACAUAUUGAAAGAACAUUUUGGUCAAUAGUAAAACUUCUUUUAUAAAUUUUUUUAUGUUUUUUUUUAAAAAAGCUGUUGUUUUGUGGUAUUUUCAUAAAUAAAGGUCAGUUGUAUACUUUAACAAUAUAUUAAACCUUUUGAAAUAUCAGCAAUUGAGCAUUGUAGCAUUUUGUGACACUCUGGAAAAAAAUGUCACAUUACUUUUGUAAAUUUGCUCUUAUACAUUUUUCUUCCAGUAUUUGAAGUAGCACAUUGUAAGAAUGUUCACUAUUGACCAAAAUGUUGCUUUUGCAUUUUUUUCUUUCUUUUUGUACUUUUAUUUGAAUUGUUUGAGAAUGUUUACAAAAAUAGAGGCCAGUUUUAAUGUUACUCUCACUAUAGAUUGUAAAGAUCAGAAAUGGAUUUUAGCAGUAUUUUAACAUUCCAUGUACAUCAUUUUUCAAAGUAAGAUUAUUUCAGAUUGUUAAAGCCAGUUGCACUUUAAAAGACCCUGUAAAAGUUAACUGAAAGCAUCUGAUGUUUUAAUGUGUUUUUUCAAAAGAAAUUGAAAUUGUUUUAUGGGUUUUUAGCAGUUGUAUGUUGCAAAACAUUGCAAAGAAAAUAAAUUCAUUUUGUUUCUAAA